This is a non-coding RNA of Nylanderia fulva, 400 nucleotides long. Lineage: Eukaryota; Metazoa; Arthropoda; Insecta; Hymenoptera; Formicidae. The record is from RefSeq and is a predicted model, not a curated record.
ACUAAUGUUUGCGCGUUUAUCGUUCACAGUUUCGCCGGUUCACGAAAGUACAAAUGUGAGUAUAUAUUAAUUAGUGUCGUUAAUUAAUUAUUAUAUAAAUCCGACGCGUCACGUGUACCGACAUCGUAAGGUGUGUAGUGAUCAAUUCGGGACUCCUGAUAGCGUGGCGGGAAAGUCGUUCAAUGAAGCCCUGCGAUAAGUAACCUUAAAAAAAGCGGUGAAGCGAGAAAUUCGCGCGGGAAUAAGCUUUCGCGUUUCACCGAAACACGUCGAAAAUAUACAUCGGACAACGGUGAAGCAACUAUAGGUUUACAACUUCGCUGCUAGUCAUUGCAUCGGCGCGCAGCACCGCGAAGAUUCCUCAUUCGUAUCGUAGCCACUUAUCGAGCUGUCUGCCCGC